AGAAGGAUUUGGAAGCAGUUUUUUCAACAGUGUUUUAGUGAUGAUCUCCUCUCCUCUUUUUUGUGAUAUGAAGACAAAUUGUGAAAAUUGACUGAAAUACCUUUUUCUCUAGUAAAAGGUCCAUUGUAUAAGGAAGUCUCCAUCUCUAUCAUAAUGUUAACAACAGAAACCAUCUCAGAGGGGAAUUAAAUGCUUUCCAUGUAAAUGGACUUGUCAGUUGAAAAUACUGGCAGAACUGAACCAUUUCUUUCUGCUCACUGAUGGAAAGAGUGAGUCCUAACUCAGAUGAAACUGCAGAAGGAGUUGUGAAUUGUUUUGGAUAAUGUCGUGUGUUAGACUCCUCAGUCCACCCCUGUGCAAGUAAUAGCCUGACUGUCCUUGGCCCAUGGUGUAGUCCUACAAAAUGAUGUCCUGUUCUUGCACUGCUCUUUUCAUGGCAGAAUUCAUUUCUAUUUUCUUGGAGUGAGAAAGCUUAUAUUCAAGCCCUCUGUGUUAGAUGUGCCACUAGCACAUAUUCUAGUAUCAGAACCUUAAUUGGAAGAUGUUUAAAGUUUUCUGUCCUCUCUCAUUUCCUUUGCUUUGGGGUUCUCAGCAGCACUGGACGUGAUUUGAUGGAGCUCUGUGACAAGGGGGAGCAAGCAAGUGCCAAGAUACCAUGGUGACUGGCACUCGAAAGGCUGGUGAACUCUGGAAGUACCAAUUUCAGUCUCUCAUUAUGAGUGACGUGAAAGCGAUUCCUGUCGUAACGACUUCAUCUCCAUCUUUUUUCCUUCCCAGCGGAACACUCCCAGCCUUCCCCUGAAAUCAGAAAACUGCCAUGCAGGUUUCACUGUUGCUCUCUUUUGUCCACUUUCUUCCCAGUUCAGUGGCUCCUAACUUGAAGUGUCAUAAACUGCUGAUGUCUAAAAUUACCAGGGUAGUUAUUUUCUCCUUGAGAGAAAUGAGGGCAGACUUUCUUUGCA
Molecule: long non-coding RNA, 962 nt
Organism: Dromaius novaehollandiae (emu)
Lineage: Eukaryota; Metazoa; Chordata; Aves; Casuariiformes; Dromaiidae
Exons: 2
Source: RefSeq, a predicted model, not a curated record